AAGCUCAAGCCGCCUUGGCUCCUCAAUUCGAUGCUUACAGUAAGGCAAUUGAGGGUUCGGACUGGGAUACGGUAGCCACAUUUUAUCACCCGAAUGGAGUGAUUGUGCAGAAGGGAAAGGAGGCGUUUUAUGGAAAAGAUGCAAUAAAAGCGGAAUUGCUCAAAUUUUCGGAGGCAACCGGCAGAUCAACUUCCUCAUUUUCCAAUCAAAAGUACGAGGGAGCUGGUGACUAUCUGAUUAUCACUGCUGAUUUUUCUUCGGAAACUGAAAAAGCUGGAACUGUUAAAGGAAAAUUUGUGCAGAUUUGGAAGAAAGAAGGAGAUAGACAUUUGAUUUAUCAUGAUGAAUUUGAAGUUAAUCCAUAG
This 365-nucleotide unclassified non-coding RNA is filed under the name Caenorhabditis elegans. RNAcentral's name for it is "Non-coding transcript of protein-coding gene Y105C5B.5b". The record is from RNAcentral. Lineage: Eukaryota; Metazoa; Nematoda; Chromadorea; Rhabditida; Rhabditidae.